Molecule: transfer RNA, 60 nt
Filed under: Klebsormidium nitens
Lineage: Eukaryota; Viridiplantae; Streptophyta; Klebsormidiophyceae; Klebsormidiales; Klebsormidiaceae
Source: Rfam by way of RNAcentral
UAUAACUUAGUUGGUCAAAGUGCCGGUCUGUGACUGUGAACAUGGGUUUAAAUCCCGUUA